CAGGAAAGGUGGUUGAGCCGAACCCAUUCCGUCUUCGAUCCCGUGGCCAUGGCGCCGCCGCCGCCGCCGCUGGUGGACGACAUCGUCGAGGAGAUCCUCCUGCGCCUCCCUCCUGAAGACCCGGCGAGCCUCGCGCGCGCUUCGCUCGUCUGCAAGCCCUGGCGCCGCCUCCUCUCGGGCGCCGCCUUCCGCCGCCGCUACCGCGAGCACCACGGGGCUCCGCCCCUGCUGGGGCACCUCCGUCUAUGUAGAACCCGCAAGCCUUGCUUCUCCAGCUUCGUCUCCGGCCUCGGCCGCGCCUUCCCCGACUGGCUCGUGCUCGACUGCCGCCACGGCCGCGCGCUCCUCUCCGCCGCCGCCGCCGCCCCGUCAACCCCUGGCGGCGCGCCCGUGGAUCUCGCCGUCUGGGACCCGAUCACUGACAAGCUGCGCCGCCUUCCCCCGAUCCCGGCCUCGCCCGAAGGCGGCGUCGUCAAAUCCUUCAACGGGGCGGUGCUCUGCGGCGCCCAGGGCUGCGACCACGGCGGCGGCGGCGACUGCCACGAGGGCCCGUUCCGUGUGGUGUUCGUCUUCUCCCCCUUCCGCUUGGCCGUCUCCUUCACCUGCGUGUAUUCGUCGGAGUCCGGUGAAUGGGGCGAGCUCGCCUCCCUUCGUCGGGGCGACGCCCACGUCGAUGUGGGAUCGAAGCCCAGCGUCCUCGUGGGAGACGCACUCUACUUCAGCAGCCUGGACAAGUGCAUCCUCGAGUAUCGACUGAGCACGUCGCGCCUGUCGGUGAUCCUCGCGCCGGAGGGCGCAUCGAUUUUGUGGGCACGUGUUGCCAUUAUCAAGGGGGAGGACGGCGUGCUGGGAUUCGCCGAAGUAGAGGGUUCCAGCUUCGUCCUGUGGUCGAGGCAAGUGGAUGCCGACGGAGUUGCGGGGUGGGCUCGGAGCCGGGCCAUCGAGCUCGAGACGCUAUUCCCUGUAUCUGCUGAUGAUGCCCCAGGAAAAUUCCGUUGGAUACUUGUGAGUGGCUUCGUGGAGGGCACUGAUGUCAUCUUUGUGCAUGCAUUUGGUGAUACUGAUACCUACAAGGUCCAACUCAAGUCAAGACGGGUCACGAAGUUGGCAGAGUCGUAUCGGGGGAUAGUAAUUCCAUACGCGGGCUUCUACAUUCCGGACUAACUGGAUUAGCGGCCUAGCGGGAGUUGGUGUCCGAUGGGAAGAAAGAAACAUCAUAACUGAUCAACCCAAUUAACAGAUCAGGUUUCUGCCUGUCAUACUGAAUGGGUCCGGAACAGCUUCAUGAGACCGUAAGUGAUCCCCAUGGCCACCAAUCCUCCCAUCGCGGCCCUCAGUCCAGCCCGCCCUCCUGGAGCCUGGCCCUUCACCGCCCCGAGGGUGCCAAACACUGCCAGCGUCAGAGUCGCGGUCACCACUACCACCACCACCCGCACCUUGUAGCUCGCCACAAACCAUGCCACGAGCAGCGGGAUGGCAGCCCCAACUGCAAACGACAUUGCGGAGGCCGCCGCCGCCUGGCUUGGGCUUGGCAGUCCAGCCCGGUCCAUGGAUGACCCGCGGGCCUCCUCGACCUGCUUGAGCCCGGCCAGCUCCACGUCGAGCUGCGCGUGGACCGACACAUACUCGCCGAUGGCCAUGCUGCACGCGCCGGCGACGAGGCCUGCCACGCCCGAUAGUAGGGCUGCCCGCGGGUCAGCAGGCCGCGCCGCGCCGAUGCCAAGCAUGAGCGCCGCGGUGGAGACCAGGCCGUCGCUCGCGCCAAGGACCGCCGCGCGUAGCCACUGGCCAUGCUGCGGCGAUGUCGACAUGGCGUCGUAGCCGGCGACACACGCGGGGCAGGGUUUCCCAGUCUCCGGCACGAUGGUGCGGUGGCUGAGCUCUUGCACGGCUAGCUUGGUGUUGUUGCUGGUGGCCAUCUUCUUGGAGCAUAGGCGUGCAGGUGCCACACGCUCAAAGAGUAUCUCUGCGUGGAGAACACAAGACCCUAUAUAUACACACACACACACACACCUGUAGUGACGUCUAGUUGUACGUCUCCAGUCUUGUUAGGAAUAGCCAAAACUAGCAUAGACAAGAUUAUAUUUGUUGUCUAAUUUGUGUGGUAAUUCAUGAGCUUUUGGCAGUCUUUUAUUGCCCUGUGUUUCUAACCUAAAUGUACUUUUCACACGAAAUGUGAUAUAAACUGUUUAUUACUCUGUCCUGCAUACACACUUUCAAGUUCAAGUUCAUCUUGCCUUAUGUUAGGAGCAAUAAAACGGGAACAAUGUUGAUGAGUGUUAGAUCAACAAAAGGGAAAAAGUAAAAGACAAAUCCAAUGUUUCAGCAAACUUAUAUUGUCUAUUUUUGCCAGCCUCAUAUUAAAAGCAAAUGAGACUUUUCAUAAUAAUGUUGUCUCCAGACUGAAAGGAGUUCCAUUUAUAUAUUCCACAACUUUAACAAACAUAUAUUAGAACAGAGAAAAAUGUUAAUGGUGAUAUUAUUUUGUUGGAGACCGAUGUCUGAAACAACAUCCUCUCUGUGGAUACAAUAUAAACAACUUUGUGGUCAAAGAUUCACGUCCUGAACCAAUUGAUACAAAAUGGCACCCUUUCUACAGAGUAAACAAAACUCACAUUCCCCUGUGUUGUUGGAAUGUGUAUUGGAAUUACCACCAAACCGGUGGAAACUCCUAUAUAUCCAGUCCUGAGAAAAGAGACAGCAGGAGCUUGGAUUCUCUCGUCUUGUUUCUUCUUACAUGCUGUGGGCUGGCACUGGCAGUACCGAGGGCUUGCAUUUGCAAUCAUUUUGAGCCAUUGGUAAAACCGGUGCUUCGUAGAUGACCCAUGUCACAAAACACAUGUCAACAUCUUAGGGUGUCCUUGUCUUUCUUACUACCACGGUUUCUUUUUUAUGAAUGCAAACUCCAAUGUUGCUAGUAGAGAAGCAUGUGUAGAAUAUAAGGUGAGACGAAGCCGGGUGGAUCGUGGUAGACAUUUUGUUGGUAUAUAGGAGUAGGACCAUGAUCCAAGUUUGCUGUCCUGGUAAAGGAGAUUAACCAAGCGGCAACCAGGAGAUUGGAAAAUGCUAUUCUGAACCUAUGUACAUAUGAAGUCUUUAUGUUGAAACUUAGCAAGGGUCCUUGAACUCUCACGUUUGAUACACAGCUUGAGUUUGCCACAAGCUUGAAGCAUCGUCCAUCUGUUGGUCCCUCAGCUGUAGAAGCCUUAUUUAAUUGCUGCAGAAAUGCCAAAAUCGUAGGAAAUACAUCAACUGGUUCAUGAUCAUUGAAAGGAAGAUGGACUUGUACUACUGCAGAGAACACCUUUCUUGCUUGCACGCAGAUAUCAUUGUCCUAUCUUUAUUUUUACAAACAUGGGAUCUUGAUUGUUGGAUGCGCAAUUCGAAUUUAAUCAAACCAGAGUUGCAAGCAGUCUAAGCUAGGUACCAAUUUCCAUAAAUCCUCCUUUAAAUGCGGAUGUUCUAGUUUUACCCUAAAUCAAACUUCUCAAAGUUUGGUCAAAUUUAUAAAAAAAUCUACAAACAUUUAUAACUUCAAAUCAGUUUUAUUAAAUCCAUCAUGAUAGAAUACUUAUUUUUCCAUGAGUGCUGCUGCUCGUGGUGUGUUCAGUUCAACCACAACCAGCUUGAGCUAGAUGGCGGGUCUGCCACGUGGUACCUGCGAGGCAGUGACAGUAAAGGCUCGGUGGUAAAUUGAACAAUUGGCCCAUUGACGUAAUACACCAGUACUUGUAAUUUUAGGGAAAUAGUAUGUUUUAGCAGAGGUUAUUUAGGGGAUCCAUCUGAAAUUCCUAGGGUAAACCUAAACUAAAUGUUUAAAAAAUGCAAAGUGCAGUUACAAAACAAGCACAACGAACAAAAAAAAUCACUAGUGUUAAAGAUAAACAGUGAAAGAAGCACAGCACAUCACAGGACACAUCAGGGACAUUGAUCAGCACUUCAGCAGGCGCAAUGUGAUAGUAUGAAACCUUCUAACUGGACAGAUUGCCCAGGUAGCAGCUAUUUUAAGUUGUAACCCGCGGGCUCAAGUACAUCCAUUCUCUUAAACUAAACAAGGGCAGGCCAUUCCAAUUUGCUCUAUGCAAGAGAAAUGAGACCGAGGCAGUAAGAAAAUUGAGAAUAAUACGAGAGAUCAUGCCACGAGAAGUUCAGACAAGAGCAAGCUGAAGAUGAGAUCCUGCUUUCUCUAAUGUUAGCGACACUGGCGAUCCUAACUCGGACGAUCAGGUGUCAUUGGGAGUAUGAUCAGAGGGGUUCAAUCUUCAGUGCCUUGAUCAUCCCUUCUUCCUGGCUGUUUCCCCUGGAUCCCUGAUGCUGUUCCCUGCAAUAGAAAGUGGAGAAAAUUAUGCUCUUAAGAACUAAAUUUAGAGGGUUUCAUUUGAAUUUUCGAAUCAACUGUGAAGGACUAUUAUAUAUGGUGAUACCUGAGCUUGUGCCUGAAUAUCCUCUGGUUCUGUAAUUGUAUCUGAGCACAAAGGAAUGUUACAUGGAACGGUUUCUCGACAUCUGCGCAGCAGGAUAACUAGCAUUACUAAGAUAACUGAUAAAUGGAGCUUUUUGUUUAGUUUCGGUAUAAGCCUGUCAUACAAAAUAAGGCAACUAGUUAACUACCUCAAAUGUCAUGAGAAAGGCCGGCAGGCUUCUAAUCCUUAUGUAUGACGUCCUUCUGAUGCAAGUAAGUGAUCAUGCUCUUUGUGCAACUUCAGCAGUGCUGGGAGGUCUAAGAAAUUAUGCUAUUUGUGCAAGCAACCAUGAAAGGCCUACCAGGCAUGUAUUCUGCACGGAAAGAUGAUAUACUAAAGAACAUGUAUGGAGUAAAUAAUUACAUGAUCUUCAUCACAGAACAAACACACUAUUGCUCAGUUGCUUUUUGGGCAAACAAUUUCUCAGAUGCUUGCGAGUAGUUGGUGAUACGGCCCAAAUAAUGAUCAAGGAAGAUUAUGUCGCAAACCAUGUUCUUACCGAUGUCACAUUGCCAGAAAAGCCAAAGGAGGAUACCACAAUUAUCUACAUUGGAGAGAUACCACUUCAGAUUUCGUGCUCCAAGUUUCCACCUCUUUCCACACCAUUCCAAAAGGGUCCAGCAUGUGUAGAGGGCAAUAAUAACUAGUACUUGAAGUCAUCUUGCAGGCGCAACAAACGGAGCAUGAUUUGAAGGCCCAAGUCAAAAGAUAUGAGAGGUCCAAUGCAAGGUGUUCAGGAAUUGAUUGUUGCGCGUGGCUCCACAAGUUUCCUCCUUUCCUACUAGGAGGGAUGUUCCUAGUAUAAGUAUUCCCCACCCUUCUACUUGAGGGGGGUUCAGAUUUGAGAGUUGUAGACACUCAUGUGUAAUUGUGUAUGUGCUGAUAGCACUCGUGUUCGUUGAGCGUUAACUUUCGUGUGUGGAUUGAAGGGUAUGUCCUUUGAUCUAGAUAGGAUUCUGGUCAUUCUCCCUUGUGAUUCUUCAUAGGCUCACAAGUACUAUAGUUUGGGUUGCGUCUUUUGUAAACCGAACUAGUUAUCCAACAUCGAAUAUUGAGUGUUGUUUCUGCUGUUCUUGAGUUGUUCUUGCAGUUUCUUUGGUAUCGUG
This is an RNA transcript of Brachypodium distachyon (stiff brome), 5569 nucleotides long. RefSeq lists it as uncharacterized. Lineage: Eukaryota; Viridiplantae; Streptophyta; Magnoliopsida; Poales; Poaceae. The record is from RefSeq and is a predicted model, not a curated record. The transcript is spliced from 3 exons.